GACGAACGCUGGCGGCGUGCCUAAUACAUGCAAGUCGAACGAGUGGCGGACGGGUGAGUAAUGUCUGGGAAACUGCCCGAUGGAGGGGGAUAACUACUGGAAACGGUAGCUAAUACCGCAUACCAUCGGAUGUGCCCAGAGUGUGUUAGCUUGUGGGUGGGGUAACGGCUCACCUAGGCGACGAUCCCUAGCUGGUCUGAGAGGAUGCCCAGCCAAACUGUAACUGAGACACGGUCCAGACUCCUACGGGAGGCAGCAGUGGGGAGUAUUGGACAAUGGGCGCAAGCCUGAUCCAGCCAUACCGCGUGGAUGAAGAAGGCCUUCGGGUUGUAAAGCCCGUUUAUUGGGAAGGCGGUACCCAAAGAAUAAGCACCGGCUAACUCCGUGCCAGCAGCCGCGGUAAUAC
Molecule: ribosomal RNA, 406 nt
Filed under: uncultured bacterium
Lineage: Bacteria
Description: partial 16S ribosomal RNA
Rfam family: Bacterial small subunit ribosomal RNA
Source: RNAcentral